Molecule: long non-coding RNA, 451 nt
Organism: Phascolarctos cinereus (koala)
Lineage: Eukaryota; Metazoa; Chordata; Mammalia; Diprotodontia; Phascolarctidae
Source: Ensembl
GGGAAAGAUUGCAGAAAGGCUUCAUAGAGGAGAUGGCGUGUGACUGUGGUCCUUUAAACAUGGGUAGGACUGAAUUUGUAUGACUGGGUGGUGAAGUGUACUCCAGAUGGAUACCAUACUCCAGCAUGGCCAAAGGCCCAGAGCCCCUGCACAGACAGUCUGGUGUCAGGAAUCCUUGGCAUUAGGAACAGUGUGCCAGUCCUCUGUUAGCCCCACAUCCCCGACUACUGGCCUUGCUUCCAACCUGACCCCCAAUGCCACCCUGAGGAGGACUGCCCUGCUGACAAGUCCACUGGAGGCUACUGCAGGCCCAAGCUGUCCAGCAGACAUCGAAAAGCCAGCCAAGAAAGAUUUCAACAUGCGCGCGCCUGGUUCAAACUCAAGUAUGAAGACAUCAGAAAGAGGUUGGACACUUCUGAUCUGCCUUUCUUGGAUCACAGAUUUUGAGUAG